CUCCUCUCAGGAUGGCACCUGGAGAGUUUCCAGUACUCUACCAGUCUUGACAACAGGAGGGAGAGUAAGGCAGAGGCUUAUCCAUUCCAUUCCUAGCUUGGGCAGUGGCUAGCGAGUGGAAAUGAUUCGGUUACAAGU
Molecule: non-coding RNA, 138 nt
Organism: Ornithorhynchus anatinus (platypus)
Lineage: Eukaryota; Metazoa; Chordata; Mammalia; Monotremata; Ornithorhynchidae
Source: Rfam